This 19-nucleotide unclassified non-coding RNA is filed under the name Mus musculus (house mouse). Its description in RNAcentral is "oocyte_clustered_small_RNA6155". The record is from RNAcentral. Lineage: Eukaryota; Metazoa; Chordata; Mammalia; Rodentia; Muridae.
UGGUGGGUCAUGAGGUGGG